This 252-nucleotide ribosomal RNA is filed under the name uncultured bacterium. Its description in RNAcentral is "partial 16S ribosomal RNA". It matches the Rfam family "Bacterial small subunit ribosomal RNA", at positions 524 to 776 of the family's 1533-position model. The record is from RNAcentral.
GACAUAGGAGGCGAGCGUUAUCCGGAUUUAUUGGGCGUAAAGUGCGUUGAGGCGGUCUCGUAAGUUGGACGUGAAAGCUCCCGGCUUAACUGGGAGAGGCCGUUCAAUACUGCGAGGCUAGAGGGUAGCAGAGGGGGGUGGAAUUCCCGGUGUAGUGGUGAAAUGCGUAGAUAUCGGGAGGAACACCAGUGGCGAAGGCGGCCCCCUGGGUUACACCUGACGCUGAAGGCGAAAGCUAGGGUAGCAAACGGG